UAAGCGGAGGAAAAGAAACUAACUAAGAUUGCCUCAGUAACGGCGAGUGAAGCGGCAAAAGCCCAAAAUGGUAAUCUUCACCUUUCAGGUGACGAAUUGUAAUCUACAGGUGGGAUACUCAACUGGAAGUGAUGCAGAAGUACCCUAGAACGGGUCGCCAAAGAGGGUGACAGCCCCGUAUGUGGUAUCGCUUCCAAACGAGUACCUUUCGAAGAGUCGGGUUGUUUGGAAAUGCAGCCCUAAUUGGGAGAUACACUUCUUCUAAGGCUAAAUAUGUAUGGGAAACCGAUAGCGAACAAGUACUGUGAAGGAAAGAUGAAAAGAACUUUGAAAAGAGAGUCAAAAGACUUGAAAUCGUUGAGAAGGAAGCGGUAGAAAUUUAUUCUGCAGCUAGGAAUAAAGGNUGUCGCCUAAACAUUGUGGUACUGAGUACUUAAUCGGCUUAGUGCCACACCUGUGGAAGUGAUUGCUGGAUUCCUGGCAGUGAGGCAAAAUGGGGCUCCAUAUCCUCAAAAGCUUAGAUUACCUGGGGAGGUUCGCCUUCCAGUAGUUUUGUGCUGGUGGAUAUGAAGCCUGAGGGUGCUUUUGCGAUUUUGCUAAAAUGGUUUUUACCGACCCGUCUCGAAACACGGACCAAGGAGUCUAAC
RNAcentral lists this ribosomal RNA (647 nucleotides) under Urostyla grandis. Its description in RNAcentral is "LSU rRNA". It matches the Rfam family "Eukaryotic large subunit ribosomal RNA", at positions 47 to 679 of the family's 3401-position model. The record is from RNAcentral. Lineage: Eukaryota; Ciliophora; Spirotrichea; Urostylida; Urostylidae.